RNAcentral lists this ribosomal RNA (448 nucleotides) under uncultured bacterium. Its description in RNAcentral is "bacterial SSU rRNA". It matches the Rfam family "Bacterial small subunit ribosomal RNA", at positions 77 to 524 of the family's 1533-position model. The record is from RNAcentral.
AGCUUGCUUCCUUGAGACCGGCGCACGGGUGCGUAACGCGUAUGCAAUCUGCCUUGUACUGAGGGAUAGCCCAGAGAAAUUUGGAUUAAUACCUCAUAGCAUUAUGAAAUCGCAUGGUUUUAUAAUUAAAGUUCCAACGGUACAAGAUGAGCAUGCGUCCCAUUAGUUAGUUGGUAAGGUAACGGCUUACCAAGACGAUGAUGGGUAGGGGUCCUGAGAGGGAGAUCCCCCACACUGGUACUGAGACACGGACCAGACUCCUACGGGAGGCAGCAGUGAGGAAUAUUGGUCAAUGGACGCAAGUCUGAACCAGCCAUGCCGCGUGCAGGAUGAAGCAUCUAUGGUGUGUAAACUGCUUUUGUACGGGAAGAAACACUCCUACGUGUAGGAGCUUGACGGUACCGUAAGAAUAAGGAUCGGCUAACUCCGUGCCAGCAGCCGCGGUAAU